This 282-nucleotide ribosomal RNA is filed under the name uncultured Rhodocyclaceae bacterium. Its description in RNAcentral is "partial 16S ribosomal RNA". It matches the Rfam family "Bacterial small subunit ribosomal RNA", at positions 1099 to 1382 of the family's 1533-position model. The record is from RNAcentral. Lineage: Bacteria; Pseudomonadati; Pseudomonadota; Betaproteobacteria; Rhodocyclales; Rhodocyclaceae.
CAACCCUUGUCAUUAGUUGCCAUCAUUUGGUUGGGCACUCUAAUGAGACUGCCGGUGACAAACCGGAGGAAGGUGGGGAUGACGUCAAGUCCUCAUGGCCCUUAUGGGUAGGGCUUCACACGUCAUACAAUGGUCGGUACAGAGGGUUGCCAACCCGCAGGGGGAGCGUAAUCCCACAAAGCCGAUCGUAGUCCGGAUCGCAGUCUGCAACUCGACUGCGUGAAGUCGGAAUCGCUAGUAAUCGUGGAUCAGCAUGUCACGGUGAAUACGUUCCCGGGUCUU